CUCUAACUUUUAAUGUGAGAACUCGAUUCUAAAAAUUUACUUCGCAAAUAAUAGUAUAGAUAACAUGCGCCUUGCGCAAAAUGUGAUUAUUAGUUUCGUUAUUUUUAAUAAAAACAUUAAAUCUGUUUAGUUUGGAUAUUGGUUCGGUCCUAAGCUUCUUUUUUUGUUUUUAAUCUUCUAAAAUAUAAAUAUUAUUUUAAAUUAAUAUUCAUUUUAGUUUAUUCGGUUAAAAUGUUUGAUUUUAUUGGUUUUUCGGUAAAAACUAAAAUUUAAUAUUAUUUGUUUAUUUUCAUGUUGUGAAUUUUAGAUAGUCGUCGUGUCGAACCAAUAGUUUCAUAUUAUUGUUUCUAAACAGAUAAUAGUUUAAGAAAAAUAAAAGAAAAUUAUUAAGACAAAUCAUUUCACUACAAUUUGGUCGGUAGUGAAAGAAGCAUUAAAAAAAAAUAUUUAAACUUUCAAAAAUUAGAUAUUUUAGUUGUGGAGAAUACUUAGUUACAAGGUGUUAACAUCAAGGUGCACAUGUAUGUGUCACUACAAAAAAAGAAGCGCAUGUUGUAUCACUUAAAUUGCAUCACAAAAAUAAGUGUUGCUAUUUUAAAUUACUUAUUUACAAAUGAUAUAAAUAUACAUUAUUUAAAAUCAAUUGUAACAAUUGAUGUUAUUAUGAACUAAUUUAACAUCAGUUAAAACAAAAUGAUAUAAUUUCUAUUAAUUUGUAUCAUUUCAACAAAAUUGAUAUUAUUUUUAAUUUUAUAUCACUUAGAUAAUUGAUGCAUCUACUUUUUUUUUGUUAACAUCAUUUGUUAAAGUGUUACAAACUUAACAUCGAUAAUAAAUUGAUACCAACAAAAUUAUGCACCUAUAUUUUUAGUAUUAACUUUAAUUUGCAUUAUCUAAAAUACUUGUCUAAUAUAAAGCUUUUCUAGAAAACCAGCAUGCGUGAUUGUUAGUAGUUACGAUUCAUGUGGUUUUAGUAAUUAUUUUUAUUGUAGCUUCAACUUAAUUGAUCCAUGAUCUUCUAUAACUGCCUCAUGAUCUCAACAAAAGCAUAUAAUUCUAUUAAUAUUCUCACUCAUCGAUUUGUCUCCCUCUCAAUUUUGUAAACUUUUUAACAGUUCCACAUUUUCUGGACUGUUUCAAAAAUCAGAUAAUAGAGUGAGAAUUCAAAGUAGUAAUAUAAGGAAGGAAGGAAACAGAUUGUGCUGCGAUGAAUUACUUCACAAGUCGUCAAACAAGUUUUUCUUAUACAUGAUUUGAAAAGAAAAUGGGUCUUCUAAUCGGACAAAUCAGAAAGAAAUUUUCUGAAAAGAUGAAGAAUCUCUUGCAAAUUUAAGGAGUCAAGUCUUUGAAAAGCUAGACGAUGGAAAAUUCUUCAAUGAGUCUCAGUAAUUUCAGUUGUGGAAUGAUUCACGUUCAUGCUACAAUGGAGAUUGAAGAUGAAAACAAAGAAGAAGAAGAAGCUUUUUACUAUUUUACAAUCUUUUUCCAUGUGAAUUCAUUUUUUUUUCUACGUAUUUCUUUCCAUUUUCUUCUUGUUCUUCAAUUGUCGUUAAUAAAAAAUAUUUUAAUGAA
Long non-coding RNA from Brassica rapa (field mustard), 1572 nucleotides. RefSeq lists it as uncharacterized. NCBI's taxonomy places the organism in Eukaryota, Viridiplantae, Streptophyta, Magnoliopsida, Brassicales, Brassicaceae. The record is from RefSeq and is a predicted model, not a curated record.